UACGUAGGGUGCGAGCGUUGUCCGGAAUUAUUGGGCGUAAAGGGCUCGUAGGCGGUCUGUCACGUCGGGAGUGAAAACACGGGGCUUAACCCCGUGCCUGCUUCCGAUACGGGCAGACUAGAGGUAUGCAGGGGAGAACGGAAUUCCUGGUGUAGCGGUGAAAUGCGCAGAUAUCAGGAGGAACACCGGUGGCGAAGGCGAGUCUCUGGACAUUUCCUGACGCUGAGGCACGAAAGCCAGGGGAGCAAACGGG
This 253-nucleotide ribosomal RNA is filed under the name uncultured bacterium. RNAcentral's name for it is "partial 16S ribosomal RNA". It matches the Rfam family "Bacterial small subunit ribosomal RNA", at positions 524 to 776 of the family's 1533-position model. The record is from RNAcentral.